This 608-nucleotide long non-coding RNA is filed under the name Salvia miltiorrhiza (redroot sage). Its description in RNAcentral is "long non-coding RNA (SMIL_LNC004494)". The record is from RNAcentral. Lineage: Eukaryota; Viridiplantae; Streptophyta; Magnoliopsida; Lamiales; Lamiaceae.
CCAAGAGAAAAACUGACUGUUGUAUUUGAAAAUAUGAGAUAGCGUAAAAAAUAAUACACGAGCUCGGGCCCUAUUUAUAGAUUUACAAGCGGAGGGGUAAAAUAGUAAAAACAUCUUCGGUGCAUGCUUCCUGCGUGGUGGAAGGGUACGUUGGUAAUUUCGAUAAUACGCGGGAGACCUUCCCGCGCGUUUAUUGGCUCCUCUGAUGGAAGUGUCUUCUCUGGCGAAGGCGUCUUCUCUGGUGAUAUUGACAUCUCUGGCAUGAAGAACUUCCCUGGUAAACACGUCUUCUCUGGCAAGGGCGUCUCCUCUGGCGGUAAUGACUUCCCUGAUGGAGUUUGACUUUUCUGGCGCGGAUGAUUUCUCUGGAGGAGAGGGCUCCUCUGUCAAGAAUGACUUCUCUGGUGCGGAUGAUUUCUCUGGAGGAGAGGGCUCCUCUGUCAAGAAUGACUUCUCUGGUGCGGAUGACUCAUCUGGCUAGAGUCAUUCCUCUGAUGGAUGAAAUCCUUCUGGUAUAAAUGGUUCUUCUGACCCAUACGGCUCCUCUGAUGAGAGUGGUUCCUCUGAUUUGUACUCUCUCCCUACUCUGCAUAUAUUGCUCCUCACCA